This 198-nucleotide unclassified non-coding RNA is filed under the name uncultured Tomentella. RNAcentral describes it as "sequence contains ITS1". The record is from RNAcentral. Lineage: Eukaryota; Fungi; Basidiomycota; Agaricomycetes; Thelephorales; Thelephoraceae.
CUGAAUUGUCAACAAGAGUUGUUGCUGGUCCUCAAAUGGGGGCAUGUGCACACUCUGUUCACACAUCCACUCACACCCUGUGCACCCUCUGUAGUUCUAUGGUUGGGGGACCUGUCCUCCUGCUGUGGUUCUGCGUCUUUACACACACAUUGUAACAAAGUCUCAUGGAAUGCAUGUCGCGUUUAACGCAAUACAAUA